GGGAAUUCUGAAAACAAGGGAGAACUCCAAGCUUUAAGAAAAAAUGUCCUGAUUUUUAAAUUUGGCAAAACCUUUGAAAGCACCUUCUAACGUAAGCCGCUGAUGGGGGGUAAGAGGAGUCUGAGUUUCGACCGCAGCCCUCCAGCCGCCGCACUGAGAACCCGAGGACGAGGAAGUCUUCCUCACUGCCCCGCAUCUGACCACGAGCCACGGGCUGCCCAAUUUCUCAGAGGGAGACUGAGUCCUGGAGAGGGGAAGCAAGUGGGUGACUCACGCUAACCCGGCCAGAGAGGAGGGGACAGCCGGGCCCCUGACAGCUCACCGCAUGUGGCCAGCACUCGGGGCGACCGGCCAAGAAAUGGAGACCCUGUGCCCCCCAGAGCAAGAACAAAAUUCUACCAACGCCUGAAAGAGCUUGGAAGCCUGUCCUUCCCCGGCUGAGCCUUUGGCUGCGCAGGCCGCCAGGGGACACCUGUCCACAGCCUCAUGGGACCCAGAGCCGGGGCACUGACCCGCUGGGCCAGACCACCGCCGAUCCCCAGACGCCCUGAGAAAACACACGGGUGUCGUGGCAAGCCACUACGUGCAAAUGUAGCUGACGCCAGCCGUUUGCCAAAAGGCCCUUCUCUGUAACAGUCCGCGUCUGGUUUUUAAGUUCGGCCUAACACAUCCUAACUCCAUUUCCAGAGGAGCCUCUUUCUGCCUUCCAACCGGCCUGACCCCCCACCACCACCCCCGGCUCCCUGCUGCUCCCGGGAUGCCCCAGGGGAAGGAGGGUGUGGCCAGAUUUAGCAAAUAAAAGUACACGGCACACAGUAAAUGUGAA
This is a long non-coding RNA of Mustela erminea (ermine), 826 nucleotides long. RefSeq lists it as uncharacterized. The transcript is spliced from 2 exons. Lineage: Eukaryota; Metazoa; Chordata; Mammalia; Carnivora; Mustelidae. The record is from RefSeq and is a predicted model, not a curated record.